This 677-nucleotide ribosomal RNA is filed under the name uncultured Alphaproteobacteria bacterium. RNAcentral's name for it is "bacterial SSU rRNA". It matches the Rfam family "Bacterial small subunit ribosomal RNA", at positions 53 to 776 of the family's 1533-position model. Lineage: Bacteria; Pseudomonadati; Pseudomonadota; Alphaproteobacteria. The record is from RNAcentral.
ACAUGCAAGUCGAGCGGGCCCUUCGGGGUCAGCGGCGGACGGGUGAGUAACGCGUGGGAACGUGCCUUCUGGUUCGGAAUAACCCUGGGAAACUAGGGCUAAUACCGGAUACGCCCUUUUGGGGAAAGGUUUACUGCCGGAAGAUCGGCCCGCGUCUGAUUAGCUAGUUGGUGGGGUAACGGCCUACCAAGGCGACGAUCAGUAGCUGGUCUGAGAGGAUGAUCAGCCACACUGGGACUGAGACACGGCCCAGACUCCUACGGGAGGCAGCAGUGGGGAAUAUUGGACAAUGGGCGCAAGCCUGAUCCAGCCAUGCCGCGUGAGUGAUGAAGGCCUUAGGGUUGUAAAGCUCUUUUAUCCGGGACGAUAAUGACGGUACCGGAGGAAUAAGCCCCGGCUAACUUCGUGCCAGCAGCCGCGGUAAUACGAAGGGGGCUAGCGUUGCUCGGAAUCACUGGGCGUAAAGGGCGCGUAGGCGGCGUUUUAAGUCGGGGGUGAAAGCCUGUGGCUCAACCACAGAAUGGCCUUCGAUACUGGGACGCUUGAGUAUGGUAGAGGUUGGUGGAACUGCGAGUGUAGAGGUGAAAUUCGUAGAUAUUCGCAAGAACACCGGUGGCGAAGGCGGCCAACUGGACCAUUACUGACGCUGAGGCGCGAAAGCGUGGGGAGCAAACAGG